CAACGCACUCAGCAUACUUGAAUACUUCGUGUCUGUUACUUGUGUUGAAAUGCAAUUGAACCUUCAAAACCAUUAGAGUUUUGUGCUGGUUUAGUUGUUUUAACCUUUAGGUUUGUGAUUGACGGUUACAGGGUAGUUUCUUUUAUGCUUAAUUGAAUAUUUCGUUUAAACAGUGGAGGGGGAUGCCUGGAACUUAACUGCUAAUGUGUGUCCAUUUUCAAAAGGGAGAAGUAGUAUCUAAUGAGUUAAUCAUUAAGGAGUAUGCACAGGGCCGGCCAUUUCAGGACAUGCAAGAGUUUCUGUGGAGCUGCUCCAGACAGGAAGGAGUGACUUGACAUCAAGCAUUUAAACUUUUUGAUUUAUGUUUCGAUUGGUGACAUUGAAAGGUAUAAAUUAUUUACAAAUAAGUUUGAGUAACCAGUUUCAUCUGUAAACAACCAGAUAUUUCAUCUAGGGACAGUUGUCUCUCAUUCUUUGAUAACUUUAAAAAGAACUCAAAGCAGGGCGUUUGCUGUAGGAAUGAAGGACUGACAGUUAAAGAGACGACGGGUCUCUAUUUCCCGGCUAUCUCCUAUGUUAGAAUCAGCUAAAGCUGCCAGGGACGUGCUGGUGAUCUCCUUUAAGUCAAUAAAUGAAAAGUUUUGUGGGGCUUUUUUAAUGGGGACAUUGAGUGAGACUUAUGAUUUAUAAUAUGCAGCAGGAAGAAGUUUCACUAAGAUUUUGAAGCUGGCAAGUGAUCCAGAUGUUGCCAAACUGCCUCAAUUUAUUUUUAUCUUAUUCUUACUUUAAGAGGUAAGAUUCUUUCCCACCCUAAUUCCUAUCUCCCACCCCUCUGCUUUUCACCACUACACUUUUGCAAGAGUCAUCCUUUGGGGAAAAAAAAUUGAGAGCCACACCCUUCGCUCCACCUGCCGACCCUGGAAAUCAAACGAAGUUCUACAAAGGACGUCCAUCUGGAAGGAGACGUCUCAGUUAUCCGUUUUACUUUAUUCCCCGCCAUUGGGCGGGGCAGGACUGGGCUUCCUUCCAGUCACCACGUCUUUCUCCACCUGCAGGUACUCCAGAGCGAUCCCCCUUCGUUGACUCCGAGGGGAUGCAGCAGCAAUUCAUGUUUUGAAGUGAUUUAAACGGUUCAAAACGUGAGGCGCUGCUAUACCCCCUCGCGGGGAAGUUGGAAGGUGGGGUUCUGCUGGACGUGUGCUCCUGCGAGGCGCCCGCUCCCAAGGCCAGCUCAGGAGCAGGUAAAGGACCCUUGGCAAAGACAAAGGGAGGAGGCCCGGUGGCACCCGGCGCCCAGCCCUCCGGGAGGACCACGCUCGCGCCAUCCGUCGCCCGCAGGACACAGGUGAGAGCCCCGCCGGUCGGGGCCGCGAGGGGCGGAGGGCGGGGAGCGAGUGAUCCCGACUGGAGGGCAUUGCCUUCCCCAAGCGAAAGGGCCCUUUCCCCGGCCCCCAGGAGGCAUCGAGAUUGGGGGCGUCCCCACAGCCCCACAGCCCUCGGACGCGUGGUGCCCUUUUCUGACUUAAAACAUUCGUCUUGCACCAGUAUUCACACGAUCGAAGUUUCAGUGUGCCUAGCUUUUCCUCCAAGGACAAAAAUGUGAAUAAAGCAAUAUUUUAGCCAAACAUUUCUGUGUCAAUUAAGAAGAUGGCAAUUCGUUCCAGACUAUAAAUUCUCUUUAACAACUCUCUAAGGAAUUCUUUAAAAUUGUUUUUCAACGUUGCUAAAUGUGCAUCAUAAUGUGUGGGAGACUUUGUAAAGCGAAUCCAUUUAGAGUCAGCUGAUUAACUGCCCCAGUGUUACCACCUUCCAGGAGGCACCUUCCCAUUGUUUGCUCCUUUUUUCCCAGCACACGUUAUUUGUUAGUGAGGAAGCUGCGUGCACAAGGCAUUGUAUUCAGUUUAUUACACAGACGUGGCCCUUAAACUACGAAAAGCUUCGUCUACCUCUAAAUUUACAUUCGACAUUUCUAUAAGUUGUGGGACAAGGUAUACAGGUUGCUUUCAUAAACUAGAAUUGAACAUAAUUUUUUAAAAAAUUUUAAUCACAGGAAUAUUUUUUGAAGGCCUCUAGCAUCUCCAGUUAGCAGUACUGACAUUUUUUUCCAACAAAGGAACACUAUAUCAACACUCUUGGCCCGGAUCUGAACACAGAAGACUCCUGUUUCAAGAAAAUACAAUCAUCUCUCAAAGUCUGCAUUUUUAACUCACUAGGUAUUGAAAACCACCCAAGUGUCCCACAACAUGGGGUAAAACAGAAUCAAUCACUCAGUGUAAUAUUAUACAUCCUUUAAAAAUGUUAUUGGGGAAUGUUUUAUGAUCUGUAAGUCGAAAUAACCCUCUCCGGGCAUUUCUUUCUCCCUGCUGCUCCCCCAUACCCGCGCUUCUUUGUUCCAAUUGGCAUAUAAAGCUGUUUUUCCCUCCAAACAAGUCAGUCACGAUGGGAACGUCAAUUGAUUUGAACAGAUGUGUGUCAAUGUUACUUGGAAAACUAGAUGCCAGUAACCAGGGCCACAAAGAAAGGCAGUGGUUGCAACACUAUAAAAACGUAUGCGUGCAUACAGACAAGGACUAAAGUGGAACCCCAAGCAGGAAAAGAGUUGAAUACACUCCAGUGCUGGGAGACUGAAUGAUUGUAUGCUGCUUUUGAUUUCCAUUAAUACGGGCAACUGUCCAAUUAAAAAGACCUAAUAAGGACUCUGCAGUGCAAAUUAUUUUGCUGAUUGUUUUAAAACACCAUACCUAUCAAAGCAUCGAGGCCGACGGGGCAGCAGGGGACUGGGUUUGUUCCCCCAUCCAGCACUCUAGAGCUCAGGGCAACACUGGGAGAAAAAGUGAUCCUACACAGGUGGGAGUUCACUUCUAGGCAGGUUUCCUGAGAGACGGUGCAAGAUGAAAAUAAAAAUAGGUUCAAGAAGC
RNAcentral lists this long non-coding RNA (2918 nucleotides) under Equus caballus (horse). RNAcentral describes it as "lncRNA (ENSECAG00000035391.2)". The stretch from base 1087 to 1170 matches the Rfam family "mir-322 microRNA precursor family". The record is from RNAcentral. Lineage: Eukaryota; Metazoa; Chordata; Mammalia; Perissodactyla; Equidae.